GGGGAAGCCAACUGGCAGUCCGACGGAACUUUAACUGGGAAGUUCUCGGAUGGAAGGGAUAAAGUUUAAUUGGCGGAUGGGUGAGUAACGCGUGGGUAACCUGCCCUGUACAGGGGGAUAACAGCUGGAAACGGCUGCUAACACCGCAUAACAUAGCGAUACCGCAUGAUAUUGCUAUCAAAUAUUUAUAGGUACAGGAUGGGCCCACGUCUGAUUAGCCAGUUGGCAGGGUAAUGGCCUACCAAAGCGACGAUCAGUAGCCGACUUGAGAGAGUGACCGGCCACAUUGGGACUGAGACACGGCCCAAACUCCUACGGGAGGCAGCAGUGGGGGAUAUUGCACAAUGGGGGAAACCCUGAUGCAGCGACGCCGCGUGAGUGAAGAAGUAUUUCGGUAUGUAAAGCUCUAUCAGCAGGGAAGAUGAUGACAGUACCUGACUAAGAAGCCCCGGCUAACUACGUGCCAGCAGCCGCGGUAAUACGUAGGGGGCAAGCGUUAUCCGGAUUUACUGGGUGUAAAGGGAGCGUAGGCGGCUGGGCAAGUCAGAAGUGAAAGCCCGGGGCUCAACCCCGGGACUGCUUUUGAAACUGUCCAGCUAGAGUGUCGGAGGGGUAGGCGGAAUUCCUAGUGUAGCGGUGAAAUGCGUANAUAUUAGGAGGAACACCAGUGGCGAAGGCGGCCUACUGGACGAUGACUGACGCUGAGGCUCGAAAGCGUGGGGAGCAAACAGGACUAGAUACCCUGGUAGUCCACGCCAUAAACGAUGAAUACUAGGUGUCCGGGGUCCACAAGACUUCGGUGCCGUCGCAAACGCAGUAAGUAUUCCACCUUGGGGAGUACGUUUCGCAGAAUGGAACUCAAAGGAAUUGACGGGGACCCGCACAAAGCGGUGAACCAUGUGUUUAAAUUCGAGGCACCGCGAGAAACCUUACCAGACCUUGGACUCCUG
RNAcentral lists this ribosomal RNA (950 nucleotides) under uncultured bacterium. Its description in RNAcentral is "bacterial SSU rRNA". It matches the Rfam family "Bacterial small subunit ribosomal RNA", at positions 44 to 991 of the family's 1533-position model. The record is from RNAcentral.